GUAGGUGGCAAGCGUUGUCCGGAAUUAUUGGGCGUAAAGCGCGCGCAGGCGGUUCUUUAAGUCUGAUGUGAAAGCCCACGGCUCAACCGUGGAGGGUCAUUGGAAACUGGAGAACUUGGGUACAGAAGAGGAAAGCGGAAUUCCACGUGUAGCGGUGAAAUGCGUGGAGAUGUGGAGGAACACCAGUGGCGAAGGCGGCUUUCUGGUCUGUAACUGACGCUGAGGCGCGAAAGCGUGGGGAGCAAGCAGGGAUUAGAUACCCUGGUAGUCCACGCCGUAAACGUUGAGUGCUAAGUGUUAGGGGGUUUCCCGCCCCUUAGUGCUGCAGCUAACGCAUUAAGCACUCCGCCUGGGGAGUACGGCCGCAAGGCUG
RNAcentral lists this ribosomal RNA (373 nucleotides) under uncultured organism. RNAcentral's name for it is "partial 16S ribosomal RNA". It matches the Rfam family "Bacterial small subunit ribosomal RNA", at positions 527 to 896 of the family's 1533-position model. The record is from RNAcentral.